AAGCAGGGGAUCGCAAGACCUUGCGCUUUUGGAGCGGCCGAUGCCUGAUUAGCUUGUUGGUGAGGUAAAAGCUCACCAAGGCUCCGAUCAGUAGCUGGUCUGAGAGGACGACCAGCCACACUGGGACUGAGACACGGCCCAGACUCCUACGGGAGGCAGCAGUGGGGAAUUUUGGACAAUGGGGGCAACCCUGAUCCAGCCAUGCCGCGUGAGUGAAGAAGGCCUUCGGGUUGUAAAGCUCUUUCAGCCGGAACGAAACGGUCACGGUCAAUACCCGUGACUACUGACGGUACCGGAAAAAGAAGCACCGGCUAACUACGUGCCAGCAGCCGCGGUAAUACGUAGGGUGCGAGCGUUAAUCGGAAUUACUGGGCGUAAAGCGUGCGCAGGCGGUUUUGUAAGUCAGAUGUGAAAUCCCCGGGCUUAACCUGGGAACUGCGUUUGAAACUGCAAGGCUAGAGUGUGGCAGAGGGGGGUGGAAUUCCGCGUGUAGCAGUGAAAUGCGUAGAGAUGUGGAGGAACACCAAUGGCGAAGGCAGCCCCCUGGGUCAACACUGACGCUCAGGCACGAAAGCAUGGGAAGCAAACAGGAUUAGAUACCCUGGUAGUCCAUGCCCUAAACGAUGUCAACUAGUUGUCGGGUCUUAACGGGCUUGGUAACGUAGCUAACGCGUGAAGUUGACCGCCUGGGGAGUACGA
This 699-nucleotide ribosomal RNA is filed under the name uncultured bacterium. RNAcentral's name for it is "bacterial SSU rRNA". It matches the Rfam family "Bacterial small subunit ribosomal RNA", at positions 202 to 885 of the family's 1533-position model. The record is from RNAcentral.